Molecule: ribosomal RNA, 253 nt
Filed under: uncultured bacterium
Lineage: Bacteria
Description: partial 16S ribosomal RNA
Rfam family: Bacterial small subunit ribosomal RNA
Source: RNAcentral
UACGUACGAGGCAAGCGUUAUCCGGAAUUACUGGGCGUAAAGCGCGCGCAGGCGGCCUUCCAAGUCCCGCGUGAAAUCGCCCGGCUCAACCGGGCGGGGUCGCGGGAGACUGGGGGGCUCGAGCGAGGGAGGGGGCAGUGGAAUUCCCGGUGUAGUGGUGGAAUGCGCAGAUAUCGGGAGGAACACCGGUGGCGAAGGCGGUUCUCUGGGCCUUACCUGACGCUGAGGAGCGAAAGCGUGGGGAGCGAACAGG